This 253-nucleotide ribosomal RNA is filed under the name uncultured bacterium. Its description in RNAcentral is "partial 16S ribosomal RNA". It matches the Rfam family "Bacterial small subunit ribosomal RNA", at positions 524 to 776 of the family's 1533-position model. The record is from RNAcentral.
UACGUAGGGCGCAAGCGUUGUCCGGAAUUAUUGGGCGUAAAGAGCUCGUAGGCGGCCUGUUGCGUCCGCUGUGAAAUCCCGGGGCUCAACCCCGGGCCUGCAGUGGAUACGGGCUGGCUAGAGGCAGACAGGGGAGAACGGAAUUCCUGGUGUAGCGGUGAAAUGCGCAGAUAUCAGGAGGAACACCGGUGGCGAAGGCGGUUCUCUGGGCCUGUACUGACGCUGAGGAGCGAAAGCGUGGGGAGCGAACAGG